ACCUACGGGACGCAGCAGUGAGGAAUAUUGGUCAAUGGACGAGAGUCUGAACCAGCCAAGUAGCGUGAAGGAUGACUGCCCUAUGGGUUGUAAACUUCUUUUGUCAGGGAGCAAUUGAGUCCACGUGUGGUCUUAGCGAGAGUACCUGAAGAAAAAGCAUCGGCUAACUCCGUGCCAGCAGCCGCGGUAAUACGGAGGAUGCGAGCGUUAUCCGGAUUUAUUGGGUUUAAAGGGUGCGUAGGCGGAAUAUCAAGUCAGCGGUAAAAAUUCGGGGCUCAACCCCGUCGUGCCGUUGAAACUGAUGU
RNAcentral lists this ribosomal RNA (305 nucleotides) under uncultured bacterium. RNAcentral describes it as "bacterial SSU rRNA". It matches the Rfam family "Bacterial small subunit ribosomal RNA", at positions 337 to 639 of the family's 1533-position model. The record is from RNAcentral.